Molecule: ribosomal RNA, 124 nt
Filed under: Salvator merianae (Argentine black and white tegu)
Lineage: Eukaryota; Metazoa; Chordata; Lepidosauria; Squamata; Teiidae
Source: RNAcentral
GCUACNGAAGAUCUCAACAUUUAGGCUUCCAUCAAUGGAUGUUGUGGAUCCUGGAAGCUAAGCAGGGGUGAGCCUGAUUAGCAAACAGAUGGGAGACCACCUGGGAAUAUCAGCUGUAGUAGGU